GGACAAAUAGCUCAGUGGUAGAGCAUCGCCUUCACACGGCGGGGGUCGGGGGUUCGAAACCCUCUUUGUCCACCA
RNAcentral lists this transfer RNA (75 nucleotides) under Pseudomonadota bacterium. RNAcentral's name for it is "tRNA-Val". It matches the Rfam family "tRNA". Rfam says of the family: Transfer RNA (tRNA) molecules are approximately 80 nucleotides in length. Their secondary structure includes four short double-helical elements and three loops (D, anti-codon, and T loops). The record is from RNAcentral. Lineage: Bacteria; Pseudomonadati; Pseudomonadota. RNAcentral also lists the same sequence under 1 other name.